UACGGAGGAUGCGAGCGUUAUCCGGAUUUAUUGGGUUUAAAGGGUGCGUAGGCGGCAUUAUAAGUUAGUGGUAAAAUAUUGGGGCUUCACCUCACUACGCCAUUAAUACUGUAGAGCUAGAGAACAGACGAGGUAGGCGGAAUAAGUUAAGUAGCGGUGAAAUGCAUAGAUAUAACUUAGAACACCGAUAGCGAAGGCAGCAUGCCGGCUCCACACUGACGCUGAGGCACGAAAGCGUGGGUAUCGAACAGG
RNAcentral lists this ribosomal RNA (252 nucleotides) under uncultured Odoribacter sp. RNAcentral's name for it is "partial 16S ribosomal RNA". It matches the Rfam family "Bacterial small subunit ribosomal RNA", at positions 524 to 776 of the family's 1533-position model. The record is from RNAcentral. Lineage: Bacteria; Pseudomonadati; Bacteroidota; Bacteroidia; Bacteroidales; Odoribacteraceae.